AACUAUACUGAUAGUUACCCAACUAUUAGUAAAUUUCCUUUUUAGUCACUCAACAACGAAAAGUUACAAAAUGAUCAUCCAAUUAUUUGAGUUUUAUUUUUGUGGUCACCAACUGUUAAUUACUAGCAGAAAGAUAACUUCAAAACUUUUAAAAUUGACAUAAUAACAACUUUAACCCUUUAAAUUUAUACAUUGUGUCAAUUUAGUCUUGGUUCUAAAAAAUUCAACCCUCAACAUUGUGUAUUUUGGUCCUUUUUUGUAGUUUUGUUUUUCUUGUGAC
Molecule: long non-coding RNA, 280 nt
Filed under: Gossypium barbadense (sea-island cotton)
Lineage: Eukaryota; Viridiplantae; Streptophyta; Magnoliopsida; Malvales; Malvaceae
Description: long non-coding RNA (GBAR_LNC019351)
Source: RNAcentral